AUUGAACGCUGGCGGCAUGCCUUACACAUGCAAGUCGAACGGUAACAGGUCUUCGGAUGCUGACGAGUGGCGAACGGGUGAGUAAUACAUCGGAACGUGCCCGAUCGUGGGGGAUAACGAAGCGAAAGCUUUGCUAAUACCGCAUACGAUCUACGGAUGAAAGCAGGGGACCGCAAGGCCUUGCGCGAACGGAGCGGCCGAUGGGAGAUUAGGUAGUUGGUGGGAUAAAAGCUUACCAAGCCGACGAUAUUUAGCUGGUCUGAGAGGACGACCAGCCACACUGGGACUGAGACACGGACCAGACUCCUACGGGAGGCAGCAGUGGGGAAUUUUGGACAAUGGGCGAAAGCAUGAUCCAGCCAUGCCGCGUGCAGGAUGAAGGCCUUCGGGUUGUAAACUGCUUUUGUACGGAACGAAAAGACUCUGGUUAAUACCUGGGGUCCAUGACGGUACCGUAAGAAUAAGCACCGGCUAACUACGUG
Molecule: ribosomal RNA, 482 nt
Filed under: uncultured bacterium
Lineage: Bacteria
Description: partial 16S ribosomal RNA
Rfam family: Bacterial small subunit ribosomal RNA
Source: RNAcentral